RNAcentral lists this ribosomal RNA (399 nucleotides) under uncultured bacterium. RNAcentral's name for it is "bacterial SSU rRNA". It matches the Rfam family "Bacterial small subunit ribosomal RNA", at positions 28 to 419 of the family's 1533-position model. The record is from RNAcentral.
GACGAACGCUAGCGGCAGGCUUAACACAUGCAAGUCGUGGGGCAGCGCGAGGUAGCAAUACUUUGGCGGCGACCGGCAAACGGGUGCGGAACACGUACGCAACCUUCCUCAGAGCGGGGAAUAGCCUCUCGAAAGAGAGAUUAAUACCCCAUAGUAUCUCGGAUUCACAUGGAUCUGAGAUUAAAGCUCCGGGCACUUUGAGAUGGGCGUGCGGCUGAUUAGGUAGUUGGUAGGGUAACGGCCUACCAAGCCAACGAUCAGUAGCUGAUGUGAGAGCAUGAUCAGCCACACGGGCACUGAGACACGGGCCCGACUCCUACGGGAGGCAGCAGUGAGGAAUAUUGGUCAAUGGAGGCAACGUCUGAACCAGCCAUAGCCGCGUGAAGGAUGAAGGUCCUC